UAGGGAAUUUUCGUCAAUGGGGGAAACCCUGAACGAGCAAUGCCGCGUGAGUGAAGAAGGAUUUCGGUCUGUAAAGCUCUGUUGUAAAGGAAGAACGACCACAAUAGGGAAUGAUUGUGGAGUGACGGUACUUUACCAGAAAGCCACGGCUAACUACGUGCCAGCAGCCGCGGUAAUACGUAGGUGGCAAGCGUUGUUCGGAAUUACUGGGCGUAAAGCGCACGCAGGCGGCGUGACGCGUCUGAAGUGAAAUCCCCGGGCUCAACCUGGGAACUGCUUUUGAAACGGUCAUGCUUGAAUCAUGGAGAGGGUAGCGGAAUUCCGAGUGUAGAGGUGAAAUUCGUAGAUAUUCGGAAGAACACCGGUGGCGAAGGCGGCUACCUGGCCAUGUAUUGACGCUCAGGUGCGAAAGCGUGGGGAGCAAACA
Molecule: ribosomal RNA, 427 nt
Filed under: uncultured bacterium
Lineage: Bacteria
Description: bacterial SSU rRNA
Rfam family: Bacterial small subunit ribosomal RNA
Source: RNAcentral